Non-coding RNA from Pelobates cultripes (western spadefoot toad), 257 nucleotides. The record is from the annotation of a GenBank genome assembly. NCBI's taxonomy places the organism in Eukaryota, Metazoa, Chordata, Amphibia, Anura, Pelobatidae.
GGACAGACCACUGGUGAAAAGUGAAUAUCACUUUAAAGCAAAUAACAGUUUUUCCCCCUAUUUGCUAGAACAUAUAUGAAUGCCUUAAAACAUGUUCACUCUAUUGCAAGUCACACUUCAUGAUUGAUAAUCAUGGGUGAGACUACUACUGCAGGAAAAUGACUCACCUUCGUUCACCUCCCUUUGAUAAGGAAAAUCUGUUUACAUUGAAAGGGGUGGAGUGGGUUAACCGGAUCAAAAACUCCACGUCUGAAGGA